Molecule: ribosomal RNA, 253 nt
Filed under: uncultured bacterium
Lineage: Bacteria
Description: partial 16S ribosomal RNA
Rfam family: Bacterial small subunit ribosomal RNA
Source: RNAcentral
UACGGGGGGGGCAAGCGUUGUUCGGAAUUACUGGGCGUAAAGGGCUCGUAGGCGGCCAACUAAGUCAGACGUGAAAUCCCUCGGCUUAACCGGGGAACUGCGUCUGAUACUGGAUGGCUUGAAUCCGGAAGAGGGAUGCGGAAUUCCAGGUGUAGCGGUGAAAUGCGUAGAUAUCUGGAGGAACACCGGUGGCGAAGGCGGCAUCCUGGACCGGCAUUGACGCUGAGGAGCGAAAGCCAGGGGAGCAAACGGG